UCCCAGAGCUUAACUCUGGAACUGCCAUCAAAACUUUUCAGCUAGAGUAUGAUAGAGGAAAGCAGAAUUUCUAGUGUAGAGGUGAAAUUCGUAGAUAUUAGAAAGAAUACCAAUUGCGAAGGCAGCUUUCUGGAUCAUUACUGACACUGAGGAACGAAAGCAUGGGUAGCGAAGAGGAUUAGAUACCCUCGUAGUCCAUGCCGUAAACGAUGUGUGUUAGACGUUGGAAAUUUAUUUUCAGUGUCGCAGGGAAACCGAUAAACACACCGCCUGGGGAGUACGACCGCAAGGUUAAAACUCAAAUGAAUUGACGGGGACCCGCACAAGUAGUGGAGCAUGUGGUUUAAUUCGAAGAUACGCGCAGAACCUUACCAACACUUGACAUGUUCGUCGCGACUCUAAGAGAUUAGAGUUUUCGGUUCGGCUGGACGAAACACAGGUGCUGCAUGGCUGUCGUCAGCUCGUGUCGUGAGAUGUUGGGUUAAGUCCCGCAACGAGCGCAACCCUCACUUUUAGUUGCCAUCAUUAAGUUGGGCACUCUGAAAGAACUGCCAGUGAUAAGCUGGAGGAAGGUGGGGAUGACGUCAAGUCCUCAUGGCCCUUACGUGUUGGGCUACACACGUGCUACAAUGGCAUCUACAAUAGGAAGCAAAACGGCAACGUUAAGCAAAUCCCGAAAAGAUGCCUCAGUUCGGAUUGCACUCUGCAACUCGAGUGCAUGAAGCUGGAAUUACUAGUAAUCGUGGAUCAGCGUGCCACGGUGAAUGCGUUCCCGGGUCUUGUACACACCGCCCGUCACACCAUGGGAGUUGGUUCUACCUUAAGGCAAGGUUUUAAACCCUUGACCACGGUAUAGUCAGCGACUGGGGUGAAGUCGUAACAAGGUAACCAAGGGCG
RNAcentral lists this ribosomal RNA (897 nucleotides) under uncultured bacterium. RNAcentral describes it as "bacterial SSU rRNA". It matches the Rfam family "Bacterial small subunit ribosomal RNA", at positions 600 to 1508 of the family's 1533-position model. The record is from RNAcentral.